Molecule: ribosomal RNA, 492 nt
Filed under: uncultured bacterium
Lineage: Bacteria
Description: partial 16S ribosomal RNA
Rfam family: Bacterial small subunit ribosomal RNA
Source: RNAcentral
AGUGAACGCUGGCGGUAGGCCUAACGCAUGCAAGUCGAACGGCAGCACAGUAAGAGCUUGCUCUUACGGGUGGCGAGUGGCGGACGGGUGAGGAAUACAUCGGAAUCUACUUUUUCGUGGGGGACAACGUAGGGAAACUUACGCUAAUACCGCAUACGACCUACGGGUGAAAGCAGGGGAUCUUCGGACCUUGCGCGAUUGAAUGAGCCGAUGUCGGAUUAGCUAGUUGGCGGGGUAAAGGCCCACCAAGGCGACGAUCCGUAGCUGGUCUGAGAGGAUGAUCAGCCACACUGGAACUGAGACACGGUCCAGACUCCUACGGGAGGCAGCAGUGGGGAAUAUUGGACAAUGGGCGCAAGCCUGAUCCAGCCAUACCGCGUGGGUGAAGAAGGCCUUCGGGUUGUAAAGCCCUUUUGUUGGGAAAGAAAAGCAGCAGGUUAAUACCCCGCUGUUCUGACGGUACCCAAAGAAUAAGCACCGGCUAACUUCGUG